Molecule: long non-coding RNA, 1705 nt
Filed under: Homo sapiens (human)
Lineage: Eukaryota; Metazoa; Chordata; Mammalia; Primates; Hominidae
Description: non-protein coding lnc-CDC5L-4:1
Source: RNAcentral
AACAUUCCAUUUUAUAGUCCCAUGGACCGAGAAGCUGAGAAGGCUGUCGUCUCAUCUAUAGAGAGCAUUACUAGAUCCAAGUUGGGGAAUCAUGGCAGGGACUGGAGCCCUGCGUUCUACCUUUGCUGUUACUUAGCUGUGUGACCCUUAGCAAGUCACUGGCCAGGUCUGGAUCACAGUUUUCUCAUCUGUACAUGAAAAGGUCAGGCUGAAAUAUUUCAAAGGCCCCCAUUCAGAUCCAAGUUUCUGGAACUUUUUAUGGUGAAGUAUUUAACCCACCUCACCGCCUAACUCUGCUUUUUUGCCUGUAACCUCCAUUCUGAGCCAGAGCCUGCAGGGGUUUCCAGCUCUGCCUAGGUUCCACGAUGGGUUCUAAUUCCACCCCCUUGGAACCUGUGCCAGGGCUAAUUCUCCCAGUCAGGAAUUCCUUCUGUGGAACUAACCCAUGUCUCUAUUGCUGCAGUUUCCAUUAAUUUCCUUUGACCCGUCCUCGGGGGGAAGCUCAUGAUUACUGAUAAUUCUAGUUAAUCCUUUAACUAGGAAAAGGAAACUAACCAUCUAAUAGGCCGAAUGAGGGAAUGACUUGGCACACCAUCUGCAAAAUAUAAACCUAAAAUAUUCCGGAGUGUUCUCUGGGAGGCCACAGCCAUUAACGCCCCGAGAGCCGGCUACUGCAGAUAUUUGCUCCUCAUGGUGGGCACACUUCUGAACUGAGCCAGGAAUGGGCACAGGCAGGGCAGCCCAUGCCGUUUCCCCCUCUCUGCAUGUUUGUGGCAUAACCAUCACAACCAUUUUACUUGCUAAGGCAGAACAUCUCCAGCCCCGUAAAAAGCUUUCUGACAUCUCUCUGAGCUGCUGGCUUCCCCAUUUUCAGAAGAUGCCAUGGUUUAUUAAUUCUCUGCAGAAGCAAUAAGAACUGGGUAUUGGCUUAAUUUGGGGCCAAUUUAUUGUUAUGAUAGAAAAAUUGGGCUCUGUCUCCUCUUAUUCAACACAAGGGCCUAUAGUUCCCCCUUUAACCCCUCCUGUGCUGGGCUCUUCCUCCAAUCCACUUCUACUUUUUUGUCUUUGGGAUAUUAUUUAACCUCUCUGUGCCUCUGUUUCCUCAACUGGGAUAAUCAUAGUACCUAUUUCAUAGAAUUGUUUUGAGUAAAUACUGAGUUACUGAGUUAUUUUAGGGUCUCUCUCUCUCUCUACCAGAAACUUCAAAUUGACACACUGUUUUAAAAAAUCUGGGAAUUUCACUUUCUAAAAAUCCAGGUUUUCAGCUUCUCGUGAGUGACUGGGAACCACACUUACCCUAUGUCCACACAACCACCUGGAGCCGAGUAGAGGUGGCUCCUGCUAAAAAUGACAUCUCAUGUCUGUCCAGGUCCUGGUCCUCCAUUCCACUCAGGGGCAGGGCCUUUCUUCAUGUCCUGGUUGACCCAGAGGCCCCGAGUCUGUGGUCUGGGUUCCCCUGUUUCCUUAGGCUGAGCCAGUUGUAGCCACAGAACUCAAUUCUCCUCCACACCCGAAGCUGCUCGGAAAUGUCCUUCCAGCAUUACCUGCACCAAUGGUAAUAGGCAGCUAUGCUCACUGGGAAAGAAAAUCUGAACAAGACAAAUGGAACCUCUCCUGAGGCAAAUCUACCCCAGUGGGUUGAAGAUGGAAUUGUAAUUUGGAGACAGAAGAAAAGAAAAAAAUAAUAAACAGCAGCACGAUUCCC